CUGGUUGACCUUGUGGGUGUGAAUGUUGUCACAGACCUGCUGAGCCAUCUUUCUGCAAGAAGAUAAAGGAAGACCAGGAAUGCCUGCCGAACUCCUACGAAGGAAGUCUAGGAGAGGAAGGGGACAGGGAGGAAGAUGGUGUCUGCAAACCAGGAAGCAGCCUUGCCAGACAUGGGAUUGGCCACAACCUUGACCCCAGACUUCCAGCCUCCAGAGCUUUGAUCAUGUUACUUGCUGAUAGGAAGGACUGAGUUCAUUUUCAGCAUGUCUGGCUUUUCCAUUUCUGUGGCCAGGGAAGGAAUUUCCCUGCACAGGCUCUCUUGCCUGCCACCAUGUAAGACCUGCCUCUGCUCCUCCUUCACC
This is a long non-coding RNA of Pongo pygmaeus (Bornean orangutan), 363 nucleotides long. RefSeq lists it as uncharacterized. The transcript is spliced from 4 exons. NCBI's taxonomy places the organism in Eukaryota, Metazoa, Chordata, Mammalia, Primates, Hominidae. The record is from RefSeq and is a predicted model, not a curated record.